AGCAUAUCAAAGCGGAGGAAAAGAAACUANCAAGGAUUCCCCUAGUAACGCGAGUGAAGCGGGAAAAGCUCAAAUUUAAAAUCUGGCGGUUUCGGCCGUCCGAGUUGUAAUCUGGAGAAGUGUUUUCCGCGUUGGACCGUGCACAAGUUUCCUGGAACGGAGCGUCAUAGAGGGUGAGAAUCCCGUCUUUGGCACGGACCCCAAUGCUUUGUGAUACACUCUCAAAGAGUCGAGUUGUUUGGGAAUGCAGCUCAAAAUGGGUGGUGAAUUCCAUCUAAAGCUAAAUAUAGGCGAGAGACCGAUAGCGAACAAGUACCGUGAGGGAAAGAUGAAAAGCACUUUGGAAAGAGAGUUAAACAGUACGUGAAAUUGUUGAAAGGGAAACGCUUGAAGUCAGUCGCGUUGGCCGGGACUCAGCCUUGCUCCGGCAUGGUGUACUUUCCGGUUGACGGGCCAACAUCAAUUUUGACCUCGGGAUAAAGUCUAGGGGAAGGUGGCUCUUCGGAGUGUUAUAGCCUCUAGUCGCAUACCGAGAUUGGGAUUGAGGAAUCCAGUGCUUGCACUUGGGAUGUUGGCGUAAUGGCUUUAAACGACCCGUCUUGAAACACGGACCAAGGAGUCUAACAUGCCUGCGAGUGUUCGGGUGGAAAACCCGUGCGCGUAAUGAAAGUGAAAGUUGGGAAACCUGUCGUGGGUUGCACCGACGCCCGGACCAGAACUUUUGUGACGGCUCUGCGGUAGAGCAUGUAUGUUGGGACCCGAAAGAUGGUGAACUAUGCCUGAAUAGGGUGAAGCCAGAGGAAACUCUGGUGGAGGCUCGUAGCGAUUCUGACGUGCAAAUCGAUCGUCAAAUUUGGGUAUAGGGGCGAAAGACUAAUCGAACCAUCUAGUAGCUGGUUCCUGCCGAAGUUUCCCU
This is a ribosomal RNA of 916 nucleotides. It matches the Rfam family "Eukaryotic large subunit ribosomal RNA", at positions 37 to 973 of the family's 3401-position model.